This 104-nucleotide non-coding RNA is filed under the name Chryseobacterium arachidis. RNAcentral's name for it is "SAM-I sequence". It matches the Rfam family "SAM riboswitch aptamer (S box leader)". Rfam says of the family: The SAM riboswitch is found upstream of a number of genes which code for proteins involved in methionine or cysteine biosynthesis in Gram-positive bacteria. The SAM riboswitch acts at the level of transcription termination control. The predicted structure consists of a complex stem-loop region followed by a single stem loop terminator region. Lineage: Bacteria; Pseudomonadati; Bacteroidota; Flavobacteriia; Flavobacteriales; Weeksellaceae. The record is from RNAcentral.
GAUUUAUCAAGAAAGGUGGAGGGAAUUGGCCCUGUGAAACCUUAGCAACCGACAUCUCUUGUGUAAAGGUGCUAAUUCCAACCCGAUUUGGGGGAAGAUAAGUG